RNAcentral lists this ribosomal RNA (504 nucleotides) under uncultured bacterium. RNAcentral's name for it is "partial 16S ribosomal RNA". It matches the Rfam family "Bacterial small subunit ribosomal RNA", at positions 30 to 523 of the family's 1533-position model. The record is from RNAcentral.
AUUGAACGCUGGCGGCAUGCCUUACACAUGCAAGUCGAACGGCAGCACGGGUGCUUGCACCUGGUGGCGAGUGGCGAACGGGUGAGUAAUACAUCGGAACGUACCUUAUCGUGGGGGAUAACAAAUUGAAAAAUUUGCUAAUACCGCCUAAUACUCGGAGGAGGAAAGCGGGUGAUUCGUAAGAACCUCGUUCGAUUAGAACGGCCGAUGGCUGAUUAGAUAGUUGUUGAGGUAAAGGCCCACCAAGGCAACGAUCAGUAGCAGGUCUGAGAGGAUGAUCUGCCACACUGGAACUGAGAAACGGUCCAGACUCCUACGGGAGGCAGCAGUGGGGAAUUUUGGACAAUGGGGGCAACCCUGAUCCAGCAAUGCCGCGUGAGUGAAGAAGGCCUUCGGGUUGUAAAGCUCUUUUGUCAGGGAAGAAACAGCAGCUCUAACACAGUUUGCGAAUGACGGUACCUGAAGAAUAAGCACCGGCUAACUACGUGCCAGCCGCCGCCGUAA